Molecule: transfer RNA, 68 nt
Filed under: Tenebrionoidea sp. 19 KM-2017
Lineage: Eukaryota; Metazoa; Arthropoda; Insecta; Coleoptera
Description: tRNA-Val
Source: RNAcentral
CAAAUUAGGGCUGGCACAAGCGUUUUAUUUACAUUAAAAAGGUAUUUGUUAAAAUCAAUUUAAUUUGA